CCCGCUGAGUUUAAGCAUAUCAAUAAGCGGAGGAAAAGAAACUAACAAGGAUUCCCCUAGUAACGGCGAGCGAA
RNAcentral lists this ribosomal RNA (74 nucleotides) under Combretum micranthum. RNAcentral describes it as "partial 28S ribosomal RNA". It matches the Rfam family "Eukaryotic large subunit ribosomal RNA", at positions 24 to 97 of the family's 3401-position model. RNAcentral also lists the same sequence under 3 other names. The record is from RNAcentral. Lineage: Eukaryota; Viridiplantae; Streptophyta; Magnoliopsida; Myrtales; Combretaceae.